Molecule: ribosomal RNA, 253 nt
Filed under: uncultured bacterium
Lineage: Bacteria
Description: partial 16S ribosomal RNA
Rfam family: Bacterial small subunit ribosomal RNA
Source: RNAcentral
UACGAAGGGGGCUAGCGUUGCUCGGAAUUACUGGGCGUAAAGGGCGCGUAGGCGGCACUGUUAGUCAGGCGUGAAAUUCCUGGGCUCAACCUGGGGACUGCGCUUGAUACGGCAGAGCUAGAGGAUGGAAGAGGCUCGCGGAAUUCCCAGUGUAGAGGUGGAAUUCGUAGAUAUUGGGAAGAACACCGGUGGCGAAGGCGGCGAGCUGGUCCAUUACUGACGCUGAGGCGCGACAGCGUGGGGAGCAAACAGG